CGAAGGGGGCUAGCGUUGUUCGGAAUUACUGGGCGUAAAGCGCACGUAGGCGGAUCGAUCAGUCAGGGGUGAAAUCCCAGGGCUCAACCCUGGAACUGCCUUUGAUACUGUCGAUCUGGAGUAUGGAAGAGGUGAGUGGAAUUCCGAGUGUAGAGGUGAAAUUCGUAGAUAUUCGGAGGAACACCAGUGGCGAAGGCGGCUCACUGGUCCAUUACUGACGCUGAGGUGCGAAAGCGUGGGGGAGCAAACAGGAUUAGAUACCCUGGUAGUCCACGCCGUAAACGAUGAAUGUUAGCCGUCGGGCAGUAUACUGUUCGGUGGCGCAGCUAACGCAUUAAACAUUCCGCCUGGGGAGUACGGUCGCAAGAUUA
RNAcentral lists this ribosomal RNA (371 nucleotides) under uncultured organism. Its description in RNAcentral is "bacterial SSU rRNA". It matches the Rfam family "Bacterial small subunit ribosomal RNA", at positions 526 to 896 of the family's 1533-position model. The record is from RNAcentral.